UACGUAGGGGGCAAGCGUUGUCCGGAAUCAUUGGGCGUAAAGCGCGUGUAGGCGGCUCGGUAAGUCCGCUCUGAAAGUCCAGGGCUCAACCCUGGGAUGCGGGUGGAUACUGCCGAGCUCGAGUCCGGAAGAGGCGAGUGGAAUUCCUGGUGUAGCGGUGAAAUGCGCAGAUAUCAGGAGGAACACCGAUGGCGAAGGCAGCUCGCUGGGACGUGACUGACGCUGAGACGCGAAAGCGUGGGGAGCAAACAGG
Molecule: ribosomal RNA, 253 nt
Filed under: uncultured bacterium
Lineage: Bacteria
Description: partial 16S ribosomal RNA
Rfam family: Bacterial small subunit ribosomal RNA
Source: RNAcentral